CCGAGUAACCGGGUCUCUUCUGGCCCAUACUCCCACCCUGUGUGUAUCUACCGCUUCUUCAGUUGCCUUGGCGGGUCUCUCCUCCCCACCAGAGGAUCCGGGUUCGCCCGGUCCGUGGGAGGUUCCGCCAGGGGGACUCUCCAAAACUCUUUUUUCAAAUCGGGUCAGUGUCUGAGAACAAAACGAAUAAAUGA
This 194-nucleotide unclassified non-coding RNA is filed under the name uncultured Dothideomycetes. RNAcentral's name for it is "sequence contains ITS1". The record is from RNAcentral. Lineage: Eukaryota; Fungi; Ascomycota; Dothideomycetes.